RNAcentral lists this unclassified non-coding RNA (197 nucleotides) under plant metagenome. RNAcentral's name for it is "partial contains small subunit ribosomal RNA, internal transcribed spacer 1, and 5.8S ribosomal RNA". The record is from RNAcentral.
UCUCCGUUGGUGAACCAGCGGAGGGAUCAUUACCGAGUGCAAACUCAUAACCCUUUGUGAACCUAUAUCUGUUGCUUCGGCGGCUCGCUCGCGGGCGAGCCCGCCGGUAAUAUCAGUAUCUCUGCUUGAACCCGACGAUACUUCUGAGUGUUCUUAGCGAACAGUUAAAACUUUUAACAACGGAUCUCUUGGCUCUA